UGCUAUUAAAGCAGGGGCUGAUCAGCUGGGCCAAGUGGAGAGGGAAGAUGUUGGGAGCAGCUGAUGUGUUGUGGAAGGGAUUCCCAUUAACACGGGCUUGAAGCAGAACAGCCAGCUCUUACAGCCCUUUACCAGGUUGUUUACUGCAGCAGUCUCUCUGAAGUCAGAGAAACCACAGCCCUGGUGUCAACUUCCAUUUUAACUACACAACCAGUUAUCAGCCCAUUUCCAUAAUAAGGAGAUUAAAAGCGCUGAGAAAUGUGCAGUUUGCUCAUGGCUGGGGACUUUCCUGCUGUCUUCCCGAGACCCUCUCGUCCUGCUGAGCUCUGCCUGCCACUUUUCCCUGGAUCCCUGGGGAGGGAGGCAGUGGGUGCAGGUGAUGGACAUGCCAUGGACCAGUGGAGGCAGCUGGUUCCUCAUGCUCACAGCCCCUCAGAAGAAAUAAAUUAGGCCAGGUCACUUUCCUUGAUCCUUGAACAUCUCAUUUAUUGUUUAGGAGUGUAACUUGAAACAUUUCUCCACUGGCAAGGUUGGUUUAGAGGUUUGUUCUGCCUGCACCCACACCUCAGUCUGUCGUUCUUCUGGGACCAGCCUGGGAAUCACUUCAGCCAUCAGAGUAAUCAUAGCUGGAUCCAACCCCAUUUCUGCCUCCCCUUCAGCAGAGGGCAGAAGACACUUUCCACAGCAUGUAGUAAUUCCCAUGUCGUCCUACUUCAGAGAGGCUCAAGGGAUACUUCUGAAGUAACAGACCUGCACCAGUGCAACAGAGGGCAGGCAGGCAGGGGCCAGGAUGCUGAUGGAUGCCUCCUGGGAGCAUUUCUCCAGAGUCUGCAAGCCAAAGAUCUUCCUCCAGACUGCAGUAGCUGAGUACAAGUGCAAACCAGAACUGUGGUUGCAGUUGUGAGCCACUUGCCUCCAAAUGCAAAUGUCUCACCAAGAGCAAAGCUGUAGCUGCACACAAAUUUAUUCAUGUGGCAUCACCAGAAAACCUUCAACCACUACAUUAAAACAUAAGCAUUUUACAAAAGCAAUUAUUUAACCAUCAGGUUGCUGCUAUUUUAUGUAAGAUUGGUAAAAGCUGGGUUUAAUUCCUCUCCUCAGGCUCUCCGGUUUUAUUUUCUGAUCAGCUGCUGUCUUUUAUUCCUGCCUCUUAGACCUAGUUGCCAGGACUUCAGCUUCUGGCUCAGAGGGCAAGGGAGCCCUUGCUUCAGGACUACAGUACAGAUGGACAGAUUUCCUUGCCUCAGCACUGGUAAACUGCUCCCUGUCCAGGUCACUGGCAUGAGCAAGCCACUGUGAGCCUUGGUGCUGCUUCUGCCCCUUGGGUGUCCCCCAAAACAGAGAGCAGCCCGGGAUGGGGCACAAGAUGGGGUGUUGGGGUUUGCUGCUCAAGCUGAUCUUGUCCCAAGACCCUCAAAUUCACUUUUUUGUGAAAAGACACAGUCACCUCAGGAUCCAGAUCCUGAGCUGGGAUGGGAAACGCAUAUUAAAUUGCAAGGAUGAAAGGAAGCGAUUUAUGCCAGUUAUUCACUAGAAGUGUUGUAACACUGCUGUGCUGCAGCAGAGGCACAAAACUCCAGCUGUAGGUGAUUGUUAAAUAUCCCUCCUCAGUUUUACAGCUUCACCAUUCUGGGCUAUAUUUUGCUUAAAAACACUCACAUGCACAUCAAGUUUUGACUCUAAACUAAACCCCCAGCAAUGCUCAUCUUCCACUACAUGUAUGAAUGCAGAGUUUCUCCCCCAAAACGUCCUGCACUGGUUUGGGGUUUGAAGUCUGACUAUGAGACUGCAAAUGCCAUUUGAAGGCAACACGACGGAGCACCACACUAGUGAGAGAAGCCACUGGGCAGAAGAUGCUUGCAGGAAAAAAAAAAAAAAAAAAAAAAAAAAAAAAAAGGGUUUGUUUGUGGCUGUGCACGUAAUUGAGAUGAGACAGCAACAAGUCAGAGGAAAAGCUUUCAGGGUCCCCGAAGAACACAGCAUCUGCUGCGUGUCUGCUUCCAUCUGGAUUAACCACUGCCUGCCCCUAGAGAGGGCUCGGAGCCGCCGUGGGGACGGGUCUGGUGCUCCCCGGGGGCUUUGUCCUGCUGCACCUCUCUAGUUAAGAUCUCAGAAGCGAGAUUUGUCACUCAACCAUCUGGAAUAGGCAACCGCAGGAGGCUGCUGCUCCUCAGUCUGUCACACUCUUAAACUGUGCUAAUGUCAUUCAGAUGUUUCACAAAGCGGCCCUGACAAGCAGGCAUGAAAUUAAGAUGUUUGUGGAGCUGGCCAAGUGGGAAAUGACAACAAGGUAGCAGGGAAAGGCAGGGGAGGGGGGCACAUUCAGAGGCUGCACUGGGGAAUAUUUGCUUCCUCUCACUCCCGUGGAUGUGCUGCAGUGUGGACCAGCAGCUCAGGGAAAGCCAUGGAGCAUCUCCCCAGUGUGCCCCUUGCUGCUCUCAUUUCAUCCAGCCUCAGGACUGAACCCACAACAACCCCUCAAGUCCUCACUGAGCUGGGGUUUUCUAUCCCUUCAUACCCAGGGACACCUGUCCUGGGUGGGAAUGGGCUGGGGAAAGUGUGGUGGCAGUGGCAGAAAGCACCCUUGAACCCCACAAUACCGUGGCCCCAUGGGUUUCUCUGCACACAGAGCUCCCUGUGCUCCCACCUUGGUCUGGGCACUGGGACAAGGAGCUGAGGGCAGCCGGUCCUCACUUUGUGCUGCAAGGUGCUUUUAUCAGCAGAGACUUGACACGGGGCUUUAAAAUGCUUCCUAAUUAAGGAGCCGGACAGCCUGGAAAGCAAUUAG
Long non-coding RNA from Anas platyrhynchos (mallard), 2788 nucleotides. RefSeq lists it as uncharacterized. The record is from RefSeq and is a predicted model, not a curated record. Lineage: Eukaryota; Metazoa; Chordata; Aves; Anseriformes; Anatidae.